GAUAAAUUAGCUUUAAAAAAAAGCAUAAUCGUGCUACGAUUCACUAUGAAAGUUAAAAUCUUCCCUUUAUCG
Molecule: transfer RNA, 72 nt
Filed under: Lophophysema eversa
Lineage: Eukaryota; Metazoa; Porifera; Hexactinellida; Amphidiscosida; Hyalonematidae
Description: tRNA-Ser
Source: RNAcentral